Molecule: ribosomal RNA, 296 nt
Filed under: uncultured bacterium
Lineage: Bacteria
Description: partial 16S ribosomal RNA
Rfam family: Bacterial small subunit ribosomal RNA
Source: RNAcentral
GUAGUCCAUGCCGUAAACGUUGGGCGCUAGGUGUGGGGCUCAUUCCACGAGUUCCGUGCCGCAGCUAACGCAUUAAGCGCCCCGCCUGGGGAGUACGGCCGCAAGGCUAAAACUCAAAGGAAUUGACGGGGGCCCGCACAAGCGGCGGAGCAUGCGGAUUAAUUCGAUGCAACGCGAAGAACCUUACCAAGGCUUGACAUGGGGGUGAAAACUCGCAGAGAUGCGGGGGUCCGUAAGGGCGCCUCACAGGUGGUGCAUGGUUGUCGUCAGCUCGUGUCGUGAGAUGUUGGGUUAAG